GGUUAAGCGACUAAGCGUACACGGUGGAUGCCUUGGCAGUCAGAGGCGAUGAAGGACGUGCUAAUCUGCGAUAAGCGUCGGUAAGGUGAUAUGAACCGUUA
Molecule: ribosomal RNA, 101 nt
Filed under: Escherichia coli
Lineage: Bacteria; Pseudomonadati; Pseudomonadota; Gammaproteobacteria; Enterobacterales; Enterobacteriaceae
Description: partial 23S ribosomal RNA
Rfam family: Bacterial large subunit ribosomal RNA
Source: RNAcentral